GACGAACGCUGGCGGCGUGCUUAACACAUGCAAGUCGAACGGAAAGGCCCUGCUUUUGUGGGGUGCUCGAGUGGCGAACGGGUGAGUAACACGUGAGUAACCUGCCCUUGACUUUGGGAUAACUUCAGGAAACUGGGGCUAAUACCGGAUAGGAGCUCCUGCUGCAUGGUGGGGGUUGGAAAGUUUCGGCGGUUGGGGAUGGACUCGCGGCUUAUCAGCUUGUUGGUGGGGUAGUGGCUUACCAAGGCUUUGACGGGUAGCCGGCCUGAGAGGGUGACCGGCCACAUUGGGACUGAGAUACGGCCCAGACUCCUACGGGAGGCAGCAGUAGGGAAUCUUCCGCAAUGGGCGAAAGCUUGACGGAGCAACGCCGCGUGAGUGAUGAAGGUCUUCGGAUCGUAAAACUCUGUUAUUAGGGAAGAACAAAUGUGUAAGUAACUAUGCACGUCUUGACGGUACCUAAUCAGAAAGCCACGGCUAACUACGUG
Molecule: ribosomal RNA, 488 nt
Filed under: uncultured bacterium
Lineage: Bacteria
Description: partial 16S ribosomal RNA
Rfam family: Bacterial small subunit ribosomal RNA
Source: RNAcentral